CGCGUAGGCGGCUCCGUAAGCGGGUGGUGAAAGCCCGGGGCUCAACCCCGGGUCGGCCAUGCGAACUGGGGAGCUGGAGCACGGUAGAGGCACAUGGAAUUCCGGGUGUAGCGGUGGAAUGCGUAGAGAUCCGGAAGAACACCGGUGGCGAAGGCGGUGUGCUGGGCCGUGGCUGACGCUGAGGCGCGACAGCGUGGGGAGCAAACA
This 207-nucleotide ribosomal RNA is filed under the name uncultured bacterium. RNAcentral describes it as "partial 16S ribosomal RNA". It matches the Rfam family "Bacterial small subunit ribosomal RNA", at positions 568 to 774 of the family's 1533-position model. The record is from RNAcentral.